GAUGAACGCUGGCGGCGUGCCUAAUACAUGCAAGUCGAGCGAAAAGACGAGGAGCUUGCUCCUCUGACGUUAGCGGCGGACGGGUGAGUAACGCGUGGAUACCCUACCUAUAAGACUGGGAUAACUUCGGGAAACCGGCGCUAAUACCGGAUAAUAUCUUGAACCGCAUGGUUCAAUAGUGAAAGACGGUUUUGCUGUCACUUAUAGAUGGAUCCGCGCUGCAUUAGCUAGUUGGUAAGGUAACGGCUUACCAAGGCAACGAUGCGUAGCCGACCUCAGAGAGUGAUCGGCGGCACGGGAGGUGAGACACGCACAAUGGGCCUACGAGACGCAGCAGUAGGGAAUCGUCCGCAAUAGGGGAGAACCUGGCGGAGCAGCGCCACGUGUGAUGUAGCAAUCCUCGGUGCGGGAUACUCGGUUAUGAGGUGAGAACAGAUGUGUAAUGUACUGAGCACUGCGUGACGGUACCGGAUCAGAAAGCCACGGCUAACUACGUG
Molecule: ribosomal RNA, 497 nt
Filed under: uncultured bacterium
Lineage: Bacteria
Description: partial 16S ribosomal RNA
Rfam family: Bacterial small subunit ribosomal RNA
Source: RNAcentral